GCCAGACUCCUACGGGAGGCAGCAGUGGGGAAUAUUGCACAAUGGGGGGAACCCUGAUGCAGCGACGCCGCGUGGGCGAGGAAGUAUUUCGGUAUGUAAAGCCCUAUCGGCAGGGAAGAAGAAAUGACGGUACCUGAACAAGAAGCACCGGCUAAAUACGUGCCAGCAGCCGCGGUAAUACGUAUGGUGCAAGCGUUAUCCGGAUUUACUGGGUGUAAAGGGAGCGUAGACGGCGAUGCAAGCCAGAUGUGAAAGCCCGGGGCUCAACCCCGGGACUGCAUUUGGAACUGUGUGGCUGGAGUGUCGGAGAGGCAGGCGGAAUUCCUAGUGUAGCGGUGAAAUGCGUAGAUAUUAGGAGGAACACCAGUGGCGAAGGCGGCCUGCUGGACGAUGACUGACGUUGAGGCUCGAAGGCGUGGGGAGCAAACAGGAUUAGAUACCCGCGUAC
Molecule: ribosomal RNA, 448 nt
Filed under: uncultured bacterium
Lineage: Bacteria
Description: partial 16S ribosomal RNA
Rfam family: Bacterial small subunit ribosomal RNA
Source: RNAcentral